Molecule: ribosomal RNA, 730 nt
Filed under: bacterium 174_xplvp339
Lineage: Bacteria
Also listed under: 1 other name
Description: bacterial SSU rRNA
Rfam family: Bacterial small subunit ribosomal RNA
Source: RNAcentral
UACACAUGCAAGUCGAACGGCAGCGCGGGGCAACCUGGCGGCGAGUGGCGAACGGGUGAGUAAUAUAUCGGAACGUACCCAAGAGUGGGGGAUAACGUAGCGAAAGUUACGCUAAUACCGCAUACGAUCUAAGGAUGAAAGCAGGGGACCGCAAGGCCUUGUGCUCCUGGAGCGGCCGAUAUCUGAUUAGCUAGUUGGUGAGGUAAAGGCUCACCAAGGCGACGAUCAGUAGCUGGUCUGAGAGGACGACCAGCCACACUGGAACUGAGACACGGUCCAGACUCCUACGGGAGGCAGCAGUGGGGAAUUUUGGACAAUGGGCGCAAGCCUGAUCCAGCAAUGCCGCGUGAGUGAAGAAGGCCUUCGGGUUGUAAAGCUCUUUUGUCAGGGAAGAAACGGUGGAGGCUAAUAUCCUUUGCUAAUGACGGUACCUGAAGAAUAAGCACCGGCUAACUACGUGCCAGCAGCCGCGGUAAUACGUAGGGUGCAAGCGUUAAUCGGAAUUACUGGGCGUAAAGCGUGCGCAGGCGGUUUUGUAAGUCUGUCGUGAAAGCCCCGGGCUCAACCUGGGAAUUGCGAUGGAGACUGCAAGGCUUGAAUCUGGCAGAGGGGGGUAGAAUUCCACGUGUAGCAGUGAAAUGCGUAGAGAUGUGGAGGAACACCGAUGGCGAAGGCAGCCCCCUGGGUCAAGAUUGACGCUCAUGCACGAAAGCGUGGGGAGCAAACAGGA